UACGAUGAAGAGUUUGAUCCUGGCUCAGGAUGAACGCUAGCGGCAGGCCUAACACAUGCAAGUCGAACGGUAACAUAGGAAAGCUUGCUUUUCUGAUGACGAGUGGCGCACGGGUGCGUAACGCGUAUGCAAUCUACCUUGUACUGGAGUAUAGCCCAGGGAAACUUGGAUUAAUCCUCCAUAGUCUAUAUUAAUGGCAUCAUUUUAUAUAGUAAAGGUUACGGUACAAGAUGAGCAUGCGUCCUAUUAGCUAGUAGGUGUGGUAACGGCACACCUAGGCAACGAUAGGUAGGGGUCCUGAGAGGGAGAUCCCCCACACUGGUACUGAGACACGGACCAGACUCCUACGGGAGGCAGCAGUGAGGAAUAUUGGACAAUGG
RNAcentral lists this ribosomal RNA (380 nucleotides) under Leeuwenhoekiella sp. Its description in RNAcentral is "bacterial SSU rRNA". It matches the Rfam family "Bacterial small subunit ribosomal RNA", at positions 1 to 374 of the family's 1533-position model. Lineage: Bacteria; Pseudomonadati; Bacteroidota; Flavobacteriia; Flavobacteriales; Flavobacteriaceae. The record is from RNAcentral.